GAAAACACUAAUAGAAUGAAACGAGAUAUUGUUGAAUUUGUAUCACAAUGUCUGACAUUCUAGCAAGUGAAGGCAGAAUUUCAAAAGACCUAGGGGUUUGCUGCAACCCUUACCAGUACCGGAAUGGAAAUGAUAACACAUCUCUAUGGAUUUUGGGAUAGACUUACCAAAGACCCAAUCAAAUCAUGAUAACAUUUGGGUGAUUAUGGAUCGACUAACAAAGUCCUCUCACUUUCUUGCCAUGAGGAUUACUGAUUUAGUAGAUAAACUGGUCAGAUUUCAUGGAAUCUCCGUCUUAAUUGUCUCCAAAAGAGACCCCAGAUUUAUUUCUAAAUUUUGAUAAAGUCUCCAACAGGCCACGAGCACAAAAUUAAACUUCAGUACAACUUUUCAGCCCCAGAUAGAUAGGCAAACCAAAAGAACCAUUCAGUUAUUAGAGGACAUGCUACGAAUGUACAUCAUAGAUAUCAGUGGGAAUUGGGAUGAGCUGCUACCCCUGAUGGAGCUUGCAUACAACAAUAGUCACCAUGCUAGUACUAGAAUGACUCCUUUUGAAGCCUUCUAUGGUAGGCCUUGCAAGUUACAGAUAUGUUGGGACAAAGUCGAGAAAAAGAAGAUGAUUGGACCAGAACUUGUUGACGAAACCACCGUGAUGAUAUUCGUGAUCAGGAAAAAGCUUCAGACGGCACAAUGCAGAUGAAAAGGUUAUACAGACAACAAGAGAAGAGAUCUCGCCUUUGAGACAAGUGACCAUGUGUACCUAAAGGUAUCACCAAUGAAUGGUCUCUUGAGAUUCGAAGAGGAAGGAAAACUGAGUCCCCGAUUCAUAGGGCCCUUUGAAAUACUAGAGAGAGUGGGCACGACUUCUUACACAGUAACACUUCCAUCAGGAUACUCUAGAAUUCACAAUGUGUUUUACAUAUCAAUGCUAUGCAAGUGCCACUCCGACCCAUCACCUAUCAUACAAAAUGAGUCAUUUUCCUAGAAAAAAAACUUGGUGUACAAGGAGAAGCAUGUUUGCAUACUUGAGCGAUAGGAAAAGGCAUUAAGGAACUGAAAGAUAUUGAUGGUAAAAGUUAUAUGGCAACACCAUUCUAAAAAAGAGUCGACAUAGGAAGGGGAAGACCUAAUGAGAGCAAAUCACCCUCAACUAUUCGAAGAUAUGUAACUAAAUUUUGGAGACCAAUUUUCUUUUAAAAGAAGAUGUUGUAACAUUUCGAGAUCUUAAAAUAUUUUAAAGGAAAUGUAGAUGUAUGUAUGGAUAAAUAAAUAAAGCAAUAUAACUCAGUGUUAAACUAAAACCCAAAUAUGAAUUAUAAAUGCAAGUAAUGAAAAUUAAACAGGAAGAAUUUACUGAGAAUAAUGAGAGUGUUCGGUAAAGAUUUCAAAAGAAGGAACUUAAAUGAGAGGAAAUAAUCAGAACUGGGGCAGAAUUGGAAAUUCCCAAAGAGCAAACAUGUCAGCAAGUCAAUGAGUUGGGGAGUCAAUCAGAUUCUGCCACACAUGCAGGCAAUGUCAGAACAUGUCGUUAGAGCAAAGAAUGGCUCAGAUGAGCCUGGUGGUACUGACUAUGCACCUUGAACGGUGCAGAUUAAAAUAUCCCACAAUAGACGACUGGGAUGGCACAAAACUUUUCAAUGACUGCGAUUUAUCUGAAUCUAGCAUAAAAGAGGACGUGAGCUGCAUUGAGAAAGGUAGACAGUGAGUGAGAGCAGGGAAGUUGGCCGAAGAAGGAACGGGUAGUGAUUCGCGAAGGACUAAAAGGACAAAGAGACGAGGAGGGUCCGAAGGAGGACUGCUACUACAGGCAAACAUCCUACUAUUGGAAGCAAGAGAUCCAGUGAAGCAGGAACAGAAACAAGAUUUACAGGGAACAUAUCCUAAGACACAGAGAUCAUGGAAAAAGUUGGAUGCAGUAGUACAUGAUUUAAUAUAUUCACACAAACACACACAAUCGAGCUAGUAUACAUGCUGUAUGAAUAUUUUCUUUUCCUUACGGCUAAUACAAAACAUGAUGGUUGAACUUUACAAGUGAAUUAGGUACCAUAUGGGGAUACAUACAUUAGAUGUGCGGCUGAACAUAGCUUGGAAUGACAAUUACUUCCUGAUUUA
Carica papaya (papaya) is the source of this 2112-nucleotide non-coding RNA. Lineage: Eukaryota; Viridiplantae; Streptophyta; Magnoliopsida; Brassicales; Caricaceae. The record is from RefSeq and is a predicted model, not a curated record.